RNAcentral lists this ribosomal RNA (811 nucleotides) under uncultured bacterium. RNAcentral describes it as "bacterial SSU rRNA". It matches the Rfam family "Bacterial small subunit ribosomal RNA", at positions 681 to 1503 of the family's 1533-position model. The record is from RNAcentral.
GUGAAAUGCGUAGAUACCGGAAGGAACACCAGUGGCGAAAGCGAUCCGCUGGCCCGAUCUUGACGCUCAGGUGCGAAAGCUAGGGGAGCGACCGGGAUUAGAUACCCCGUUAGUCCUAGCCGUAAACGAUGGGCACUAGGUGUUGUCGGUAUCGACCCCGGCAGUGCCGUAGCUAACGCAUUAAGUGCCCCGCCUGGGGAGUACGGCCGCAAGGCUAAAACUCAAAGGAAUUGACGGGGGCCCGCACAAGCAGCGGAGCGUGCGGUUCAAUUCGAUGGUACGCGAAGAACCUUACCCAGGCUUUACAUGCAGGUGGUAGCGACCCGAAAGGGAAGCGACCCGCAAGGGAGCCUGCAAUGGUGUUGCACGGCUGUCGUCAGCUCGUGUCGUGAGAUGUUGGGUUAAGUCCCGCAACGAGCGCAACCCUCGCGGCCUGUUGUAUCCCUCAGGCCGGACUGCCGAGAGAAACUCGGAGGAAGGUGGGGAUGACGUCAAGUCCGCGUGGCCCUUAUGCCUGGGGCUACACGCACGCUACAAUCGUCGGUCACAGCGGGUCGCAACUGCGCGAGCAGGAGCUAAUCCCUUAAAACCGGCGUCAGUUCAGAUCGGAGGCUGAAACUCGCCUCCGUGAAGUCGGAGUUGCUAGUAACCGCGGGUCAGCACACCGCGGUGAAUAUGUUCCCGGGCCUUGUACACACCGCCCGUCAAGUGAUGGGAGUCGGAAGCACCCGAAGCCGGUGGGCCAACCGCAAGGAGGCAGCCGUCGAAGGUGAGGCCGGCGACUGGCACUAAGUCGUAACAAGGUAACCGU